UACGGAGGAUGCAAGCGUUAUCCGGAAUUAUUGGGCGUAAAGCGUCCGCAGGUGGCACUUCAAGUCUGCUGUCAAAGGUCGGGGCUUAACCCCGGGAAGGCAGUGGAAACUGAAGCGCUAGAGUGUCGUAGGGGUAGAGGGAAUUCCCGGUGUAGCGGUGAAAUGCGUAGAGAUCGGGAAGAACAUCGGUGGCGAAAGCGCUCUACUGGACGACAACUGACACUCAGGGACGAAAGCUAGGGGAGCGAAUGGG
This 253-nucleotide ribosomal RNA is filed under the name uncultured Wilmottia sp. Its description in RNAcentral is "partial 16S ribosomal RNA". It matches the Rfam family "Bacterial small subunit ribosomal RNA", at positions 524 to 776 of the family's 1533-position model. The record is from RNAcentral. Lineage: Bacteria; Bacillati; Cyanobacteriota; Cyanophyceae; Coleofasciculales; Wilmottiaceae.